UCUCUGUUUCUCUCUCUCUGUCUCGGUCUCUGUCUCUCUCCAUCCACGUUGUUGGUAUUAUUAUCAUAUCAAAGAGAAGAGGCCCCUAGCGAGGGUCUCAUAUUUUGGAAGUGUGUGUUUGUGCCUCUGUGUGUGUGUAGUUAUUUGGCGUUUGUGAAUCCGUAUCCUAAGCUGAAUGGUCGAUAAAUCACGUUGAAAGGUUUUCAAAAGUUGUUUGUGUCCCUGCAUUUGGGGUCCUGGGACAGGGCGUGAUGAGAAAUUUGCAAAGAGCCGGAAACCAAGAUCCCAGCCAGGCGGACUCCCCAACUCCGCCCAGCCAGGCGAACAACCCAACUCCGCCCUGUGAGAGAAGCAGGACCAAAAGAGGAGGUUGUUAGAUCUGUUUAUCCAAUGGGACUGGUCUAGUUAUCUAGCGCACUAUGGAAGACCCACCUGCAAAUACCUGAGAGUCAACCCAAACACUACGCUAGCACUGCUGGAAAAGAUGAAAGACACUAGUCGUAAGAACAACAUGUUUGCUCAGUUCAGGAAGAACGAGAGAGACACACAGAAACUCCUCGACACUGUGGUCAAUCAGCUACUCAACCUCGUCUCCGCCCACCAGACCUGAAUGGAGCCAUCCUAUUGACCAAUGAAACGCCACAAUCCUUCCACUAGCCAUCCUAUUGACCAAUGAAACGCCACAAUCCUCUUGCAUCCACGUGCAUGUAGUCGAAAAGGGAGAUGUAAUGCUCUUCCACUCUCUCUCCACAUAUACUAAAGGGAUUGUAAUGACCCUAUGUUACUAAUAAAGAUAUUACAA
This is a non-coding RNA of Salmo salar (Atlantic salmon), 802 nucleotides long. The record is from RefSeq and is a predicted model, not a curated record. NCBI's taxonomy places the organism in Eukaryota, Metazoa, Chordata, Actinopteri, Salmoniformes, Salmonidae.